Long non-coding RNA from Arabidopsis thaliana (thale cress), 507 nucleotides. RefSeq annotates it as other RNA. NCBI's taxonomy places the organism in Eukaryota, Viridiplantae, Streptophyta, Magnoliopsida, Brassicales, Brassicaceae. The transcript has 2 exons. The record is from RefSeq.
CAUUGAGGCUUCUCAGACUAGCCACAUCAGCUUUCUAAUCUUCUCCACUAAGCUGCCACAUCAGCCUAAUUUUGCUCGAAAUGUUUCUAAACCCAGCCACAUCAGCCUAAUUUAUUACUAAUAAUUAAGGCUUUGGGCCUCUUAAUAAUGUAAUCAACGUUUUGGUUUCCCUAUUAGAUAAUAUACAUCUGAUACCUCUCUCAAAGGUUUUACGUUCCAAUUCAUCUCCCCAAAUCGACUCUCUAAUAGUCGCCUCUCCUUCAAAAAUACGAUCACCUUCCCGUUCAUCGUUCACUUCAUCCAUGGCCUAUGCGAUAGCAUCUCCUUGGAACGGUCUUUGGGUUUGAGCAAGGAAAAGGAUACAGAGAAAUUCCACUCCGUCCUAAUAUUUCUAAACUCUGCAUUUAAUAAGACUCACAAAGGUAUAGAUACCAUGACUCAUGUGAUUUCUGUAUAAGAAGGCCUUUUCUAACUUCUUCACUUAAGGUAUAUGUCUUCUUUUUGCCC